AUUGAACGCUGGCGGCGUGCCUAACACAUGCAAGUCGAGCGGUAAGGCCCUUUCGGGGGUACACGAGCGGCGAACGGGUGAGUAACACGUGGGUGACCUGCCCUUAGCUCUGGGAUAAGCCUGGGAAACUGGGUCUAAUACCGGAUAUGACCCUAUGGCGCAUGUUGUGGGGUGGAAAGCCUUGUGCGGCUAGGGAUGGGCCCGCGGCCUAUCAGCUUGUUGGUGGGGUGAUGGCCACCAAGGCGACGACGGGUAGCCGGCCUGAGAGGGCGACCGGCCACACUGGGACUGAGACACGGCCCAGACUCCUACGGGAGGCAGCAGUGGGGAAUCUUGCGCAAUGGGCGAAAGCCUGACGCAGCGACGCCGCGUGAGGGAUGACGGCCU
RNAcentral lists this ribosomal RNA (387 nucleotides) under uncultured bacterium. Its description in RNAcentral is "bacterial SSU rRNA". It matches the Rfam family "Bacterial small subunit ribosomal RNA", at positions 28 to 417 of the family's 1533-position model. The record is from RNAcentral.